RNAcentral lists this transfer RNA (76 nucleotides) under Ethanoligenens harbinense. RNAcentral's name for it is "tRNA-Ala". It matches the Rfam family "tRNA". Rfam says of the family: Transfer RNA (tRNA) molecules are approximately 80 nucleotides in length. RNAcentral also lists the same sequence under 2 other names. Lineage: Bacteria; Bacillati; Bacillota; Clostridia; Eubacteriales; Oscillospiraceae. The record is from RNAcentral.
GGGGGUGUAGCUCAGCUGGGAGAGCACCUGCUUUGCACGCAGGGGGUCAGGAGUUCGAUUCUCCUCAUCUCCACCA